AAACGCGCAGACUUACAUCCCUUGAAUGCCGAUCGCGGUUCCGAAAUGGUUCCUUCUUUCGGCUGGAUCCCACAAAGUGCUGCAUGGCUGUCGUCAGCUCGUGUGGGGAGAUGUUCGGUUAACUCCGGCAACGAGCGCACCCCCCCCUCUUAUUUGCCAGCAUUCAUUUGGGCACUCUAGAAGAACUGCCCAUGAUAAGACGGAGGAAGGGGGGGAAGAUGUCAAGUCCUCAUGGCCCUUAUUGGUGGGGCUACACCCGUGCUACAAUGGUGGUGACAAUGGGGUAAUCCCUAAAAGCCAUCUCAUUUCGGAUUGGGGUCUGCAACUCGACCCCAUGAGGUCGGAAUCACUAGUAAUCGCGUAACAGCAUGACGCGGUGAAUACGUUCCCGGGC
Molecule: ribosomal RNA, 394 nt
Filed under: uncultured bacterium
Lineage: Bacteria
Description: bacterial SSU rRNA
Rfam family: Bacterial small subunit ribosomal RNA
Source: RNAcentral